CUACGGGUGGCUCCAGUGGGGAAUAUUGCGCAAUGGGGGAAACCCUGACGCAGCAACGCCGCGUGAAGGACGAAGGUUUUCGGAUCGUAAACUUCUUUGAUUGGGGAAGAAUAAAUGACGGUACCCAAAAAACAAGCCACGGCUAACUACGUGCCAGCAGCCGCGGCAAUACGUAGGUGGCAAGCGUUGUCCGGAUUUACUGGGUGUAAAGGGCGUGUAGGCGGGGAGGCAAGUCAGAUGUGAAAUACCACGGCUCAACCGUGGGGGUGCAUCUGAAACUGCUUCUCUUGAGUGCUGGAGAGGAAAGCGGAAUUCCUAGUGUAGCGGUGAAAUGCGUAGAUAUUAGGAGGAACACCAGUGGCGAAGGCGGCUUUCUGGACAGUAACUGACGCUGAGGCGCGAAAGCGUGGGGAGCAAACAGGAUUAGAUACCCCUGUAGUC
Molecule: ribosomal RNA, 441 nt
Filed under: uncultured bacterium
Lineage: Bacteria
Description: partial 16S ribosomal RNA
Rfam family: Bacterial small subunit ribosomal RNA
Source: RNAcentral